GGCGAACGCUGGCGGCGUGCCUAAUACAUGCAAGUAGAACGCUGAAGGAGGAGCUUGCUUCUCUGGAUGAGUUGCGAACGGGUGAGUAACGCGUAGGUAACCUGCCUGGUAGCGGGGGAUAACUAUUGGAAACGAUAGCUAAUACCGCAUAAUAGUAGAUGUUGCAUGACAUUUGCUUGAAAGGUGCAAUUGCAUCACUACCAGAUGGUCCUGCGUUGUAUUAGCUAGUUGGUGGGGUAACGGCUCACCAAGGCUACAAUGCUUAGCCGACCUGAGAUGGGGAUGGGCCACACUGGAACGGAGACACGGCCCUGACUCCCGACGGGAGGCAUUAUUGGGGAAUCUUCGGAGAUGGACGGAAGUCUGACCGAGCCACCCCCCCGGGGGUGAAGAGGGUUUUCGUUGCGUAAAUGUUGUGUUUAUAUUCAUAGAACGAGUAGAACAGGGGAAAUUGAUGUGUGUCUUGAUCUUAUCGUGAAAUGGACUGUGUAUUUGUGUUGUUUGUGGUGGGAUUCUGUGGUGCCAAUUGCUCACGAGUGUUGUGUGGUGUGUGUGAUGCUUGGUUGUUUGUGGUGGUGAAGUGUGAUGAUGGUGCUCACCUAGUGUCGUUUGUGUCGAUGUUGAUUGUUGUGAGGGUGUGGUGUUGUAGUUCGUGGUGUGUGUGCUCGGAUGUGCAUUGAUAUACUAGCGCUACGUGACGUGGCUGCAUUGUAGUUUUAUGUGCGUGUUGCUGUGAGUUUGGUCGCUUGUUGUUCGUAUUGUGUACGUGUAAGAAUGUCGUGCUAGUCGUGCAUGCUGUGGUGGUUGAAGUUAUAACAUAGUAGUGGAAUAUGUACACGCUCGAGCUGCGUGCCCAGUGAUAGACAGAGAACAGAGUAGUGAGGGUUUGUGUAGUAGGACAGCAGAGCAGAGUUGCGGGUGUAGAUUGCCUAGUAGAUCAGAUAUAGU
Molecule: ribosomal RNA, 948 nt
Filed under: uncultured Bacteroidales bacterium
Lineage: Bacteria; Pseudomonadati; Bacteroidota; Bacteroidia; Bacteroidales
Description: partial 16S ribosomal RNA
Rfam family: Bacterial small subunit ribosomal RNA (bases 14-379)
Source: RNAcentral